CAUGCGAACCAAGAAUAACAGCAGGAUGACUGUAUCUCGAAAUCUGUAGUACAUGGAUUUCGUGAUACCGUUAUCCGGCUGUUACUACUAAUUAACUACUA
RNAcentral lists this microRNA precursor (101 nucleotides) under Haemonchus contortus (barber pole worm). RNAcentral describes it as "microRNA hco-mir-5967 precursor". The record is from miRBase by way of RNAcentral. Lineage: Eukaryota; Metazoa; Nematoda; Chromadorea; Rhabditida; Trichostrongylidae.